GCCGACUGUCCGUUAAUCUCAGCCGUUCCAGCCCCACUUCUCCCUCUUCCUCAUCUGUUAACAUCUACUUCUGUGCUGCCCAAAGGCACAGUGGUGACGAGCACACAAAGCGAUGAGUGCUUGGAAUGGGGCGUCCUGAGCGGAGCUGUGCUUUCACAUCAGGAAAAUAAGAAGUUCGGAGCCCACCUUGUCAUGGUCCUUCCAGUGCAGCAAGUGUGUCUUUGGACCCACCAUGAGAGAGAGAACGCGUGAGCACUUCACACUCAGCGCAGAGACCGAUGCCACAACCAAGAGAUCAUGACCUUGGGCCAAAAUCAAGAGUCAGACGCUCACACAACUGAGCCACUCAGGUGCCCCUAAUUGAUCACCUUUAACAGUACUUAAUAGAUGUUUAUUUUCUUCUAUGA
Molecule: long non-coding RNA, 407 nt
Organism: Hyaena hyaena (striped hyena)
Lineage: Eukaryota; Metazoa; Chordata; Mammalia; Carnivora; Hyaenidae
Exons: 3
Source: RefSeq, a predicted model, not a curated record